UACGGAGUGUGCAAGCGUUACUCGGAAUCACUGGGCAUAAAGCGCGCGUAGGCGGGUUUGCAAGUCGAUUGUAAAAUCCCUCAGCUCAACUAGAGGAACGUAGCAGUCGAUACUGCUCACCUUGAGGACGAAAGGGAGGAGUGGAACUUCUGGUGGAGCGGUGAAAUAGCGUAGAUAUCAGAAGGAACACCGGUGGCGAAAGACGCUCUCUGGUUCGUAUCUGACGCUGAGGCGCGAAAGCUUGGGUAGC
Molecule: ribosomal RNA, 250 nt
Filed under: uncultured bacterium
Lineage: Bacteria
Description: partial 16S ribosomal RNA
Rfam family: Bacterial small subunit ribosomal RNA
Source: RNAcentral